Molecule: RNA transcript, 4662 nt
Organism: Macadamia integrifolia
Lineage: Eukaryota; Viridiplantae; Streptophyta; Magnoliopsida; Proteales; Proteaceae
Gene name: disease resistance protein RPV1-like
Exons: 7
Source: RefSeq, a predicted model, not a curated record
AACCCUACCUAGUUAGUUAAUCUUGUAGGAAACCUAGUCACCUAGGAACUCCCUACAUCAGAAGGUCUCAAGAGAAAAUCCCUCUUAAGGAUUAAUGAGUCAAAAGAGUUGUGGAUACACGAUCAGAUUCAUGACAUGGGAACGAGAAUUGUCAACAAACAAAAUCUUUUGGAACCUGGUAAGCAAAGCAGGUUAUGGUCUCGUGACAUAAUCAUGGGGAUAUUACAGGGUCGUAAGGUAAGAGCUAAUUACAUGCAUCUAUUUCCUAUGCUCUUAUCUUGGUUAGCAUGUGAUCCUAAUAUUUCAAUAGAUACUGAAAUAAAGUGCAUAAAACCAAACACAAUUAGUAUGGAUUAUAUUGCCAAAGCCUUUAAAUUUUUAUGUCUAUUAAUUUUAUUUACUUGGUAUAAUUUUCUACUAUAGGGGAAUGAAAUUGUUGAAGGUAUCUUGCUUAGCUUCAGUUCAAAAGACAAUACUUGUCUACACACAAAUAGCUUUGAGAAGAUGUCCAAGCUAAGAUUACUACAAGUCGAUGGAGCAACCUUGAAGGGGAGCUGUCAAUGUCUUCCUUCUGGGUUAAAAUGGCUUAGAUGGCGGGAAUGCCCAUUGGACGAAAUACCUGCCGAAUUUUAUCAUGAAGAAUUAGUUGUUUCAACAAUUGGAGGUUCUUAAACUCAGUUGGUGUUCAUCUCUGUCUAAGUCUUCCAACUUCUCAGGAUUUCCUUGCUUAGAGAGGUUGUAUCUUGAUAAUUGCAGUUCUUUGGUUAAUUUACAUGAUUCCAUUGGCCAGAAUCAGGAGCUUGUUUACUUGAACUUGGAAAGAUGCUCUUCUCUUGAAGAACUCCCAAACAGUAUAUGUAGGUUGAGUUCUCUCCAAAAGUUAAUGGUCAGUCAUUGCAUCUCACUCAACAAGUUCCCUGAGUCCAUUGGUAACUUGCAAGAAUCUUUGGUGGAGUUUCUUUGACCAGAACAAAUAUUAAGGUACUUCCUGAUUGUGUUGGACUGUUAAAAAAACUAGAAGUAUUGAAUUUUUCACUUUGCCAUGAGCUUCUGAAUCUACCAAUGUCAAUGGAGAAUAUGACAUCUCUGUGUCGCAUUGAACUUAGUGGGCAUAACAAGCUUCGAUGCAUCCCAAAGCUGGCCUCUCCUCUAAUUCAACUUCAUAUUCAUUACCAAUUAUCAAAAUUCUUACCCAUAGGUUUUGAUGAGGUAGAUUUAGCUGAAACUCUUUCACUCCGACAUUUUAAUAUGUCAAUGUCUGCUGCUGCUGCAAUUUUGUUAUCACGAACCCUAAACUGAGGCUUUGACUGGCUAGAUACAACUGAAGACAGAGUUCUCUUUAGCAAGGUGCUGCUUCGAUGCAUACCAAAGCUGCGCUCUAUACGGCUUCGAUGCAGAUCAAUGCUACACUUUGUGAUCCUUCGAUGGAUAACAAACCUGCCAUCUACUACUUUAAUUCAAAUUGAAGGGUGUAUUCAUUAGAGUAACCUGUGGAAGUCCGCCCCAGAGUGAGAUAAAUUUUCACAAUCUAUUUCGUCCUCAGACUCAUAUUUUUUCGGUAAUAUUUGCCCUUGCACCAUUUGUGAGAAAGGAGAGGUGAAAGCGAAACUUAAUUCAUUAGAUGGAAAGAAAACUAAACGAUGUGGGACUAUACAUUGCAACUCCCGGCGUCUCAACAAAAAAAAGUAGCAACACCUCCUCCUUCGAGAGCAAAAGCAACCACACCAAGGCCAACACAUUCAACCAAAGAUGUCAGACACAACAAGGCUGGCUGUUACGGGAUAUUCUGGCCUCCUCCGUACCAUGAUAGCCCCUCAACAUAGAGACUGAGUGCAUCAACACUUCAACAGUGGAGUACUGGUACCAGGGUUGACUCCUCCGCCACCUCCCGAUCCAUACUUUAUCAAACGGCUUGAAUCUGGUAAGAUUUCACGCAAUUAUCCUUUACUUUAAAAGGGAUGUGAUCUCUGUUUGGAAAUUGCUUGGCUUGUGUUGUCAGGCAGUUGCUGCACAUGUGAUGCUCUUGUUCAAAUAUGCUUGAAUGGGAUCUGUCGCGAACGUGUGCGAGUCACUCGAUUGAGUUUCCAAAGGGGGCAUGCAAUCCCCUGUUUCAGCUUUGGGGCUAGGGACAAAGCACCUGAGGUGCACAACCAGAGGCUUGGUGGGGAUUUUCAUUUCGGUGUCUGCCCUUGUGGACUCCUGGUGGCUUUGAGUCGUAUGGGUCUCACAACCCUGCCACUCGUGGUUGCUUAGCUUGAGAUGGGUUCUUGUCUACUUUUCCUUCAAAUGGGUCAAAUUAGAGAGGGACAGAUUCGGAUCCUCACUCAUUUUUCUUUGGGAUGACUCAAGUUUCCAGCUUGCAGGAGAGGAGCCUUCCAAACCCUAGUGUUCAAAAAUGAUGAAAACAAAAUUAGAUUGGAGAAUCCAGUGCACUUCCUACACUGAUUCUAGUGCUUCGGUCCAAGGAUGCUGCUAUACAUUAUGAGGUGCUCCUGUUGUUGGUAGAGCUAAAGGGAGGCAGCUUUGCUACUUGGGAAAUUUGCUGCAGGGGAUUCAGAUUGCAAGGGGAAUAACAAUCAUCAUUUGCCCUUUUUUUCCUUGACCCUUCCUAAAUUGGAAGUAAGGCUUCUGCUUCUAUAUUUUAGUUUUUCAUUGCUAAAAGUGAGUUUAUUUCUGGCCAAUCUCUUGAUUUUAACCUUAUAAGGGCUGCUGUUAUUAUUUUGUAUCCUUCUAGUCCCCCUGCAGAAAAAAAAAAGUAGUUUCUUAAUAAAUCAGGUUCUUGCAGGUGUACGUUGUACAAAGAGAACCUGUCUGACCUUUGAUUAAGAUGCUUCAGUCUCCAGAUGUACAACUUAGUGAAAUUUCAGCUUUUGCAAUGGGGAGAUUGGCCCAGAUUAAUGUUUUUUUCAUUUCUUGGUUUGGUCUUGUUCAAAUCAGAUUGAUUAAAUUGAUGUUAGAAGACAUUUGUUUGGCAAUCAUGUUAGUGACUAAUCUAUCUUUUCUUUGUUUUUGGAAAUUGACUGGUGUACUUUUAUUCUUGGAUUACAUAACUCUGAUUUUUUGGGACAUGUAGCAGACAAAAUUUGUUGCAUUUUUUUUUUAAUUAUUUAAUUUAACAAAAGAAAUUUAAUUUCAAGAGCAGAAGGUGGGAGUGCUAAGGAUGCUGCUUGCACUUCUAGAAGCAUUGUUUGUUUGAAAUCUACUAAGCUUUUCCUGCAAACAUUAUUGGUCCUACUGGUGUUUGAUCUUAUCCUCUUUGGGAGUAUGUAGAAUAUGGUGCUUCAUGGGGGCAAAUAGGGGGAUGUAAACUGUCUUCAAGAUUGUAUCUCUUGGUUGAUUAUAUCAUAGUUUGGAUCAGUAUUACGAAUGAUCUAUCAGGGUUUUCACUAAUGGUUGUUGGCCAGUAGUCUCCCCCUCAGGAGUUUGGUCUUUAAGUCUCAUGUUUACACACAAUAAUGUUUGGUGAGGUUGAAGCUGGUUCUCUCAUGGUUACUAGAAAAUUUUCUAUUCUAUUAGUAUGUUCAGAAUUUAAUUUUUCUGAGAUUUUUUUUAUGCACAGAGGGAACAAUUCUUACCCAUGAAUGAUGUGAGAUUACAUUAUUAUGUGCUCUUUUUUUUCUCUUGACUGACUCAGGUUGGAUGUGAUCAUAGGAGAAGUAGCAAGGAAAGACAUGUAUAGUUUAGGUCAUGUCCCAAGUAUGACCUCGAAUAGAUCUCAUUUGAGGGCAAGAAUCCAUGUAGCCGACACCAUUUAGUUUCCAGCUGCAGGAGUUUGCAAGCUGAAGGAAUAUCUAAUUUGCAAGCGUAAAUAUUUUCCAUGAUUGCAAGAUUGUAGAAUGCAAUGCAUUUCCUACACUGAUUCUAAUGCUUCGGUCUGGGAUGCUGCUACAUGUUAUGAGGUGGUUGGUGUCAUUGGUAAUCUGGUACACUCCUGCACCAAUAUUAAGAAAGAAGUUCUUCUUGCUGGGGCUUGAGUGCUUGACAACCUGUCAUUGGACUACGGUAUUUCUAAUUUUUGGACAACUCUUAUCAUCUUUGUGUGUACUCAAUUUGGUUCAGCUAGACAUGGUCUAACUAUUGUUGCUGUAUAGCUGUUAUUACCAUAAGUUGCUAUGAGCAAUGAUUUCCUUCUUUCAGAGAUUCUAAGUUCUUAUGCUUGAUGACAGCUCCUGCUGUUCACAGAGCCAAAGCGAGGCAGCUUUGUUACUUGUGGAAAAUUUCCUGCAAGGGAUUUAGAUUGCAAGGUGAAUAGCAAUCAUCAUUUCCUUUUUUCCUUCAUUCUUCCUAAAUUGGAAAGGAGGAUUCUGCUUCUAUAUUUUAGUUUUUCAUUGCUAACAGCGAGUUUAUUUCUGGCCAGUCUCUUGCUUCUAACCUUCUAAGGGGUUACUGUUAUUAGUUUGUAUGGGGAAAAAAAAAAGGAGGCUUCUGUUAUUGAUAAUCAGGUUCUUGCAGUUGUACAUUGUACAGAGAUGCUAUCAGGCCUUUGAUUGAGAUGCUUGUCUCCAGAUGUACAACUUAGGGAACUGCAGCCAUUGCAAUGGGGAGAUUGGCCCAGAUUAAUGUUUUUUCAUUUCUUGGUUUGGUCUUGUUCAAAUCAGAUUGAUAAAAUUGAUGUUGGAAGACAUUAUUUUUUUGCAAUCAUAUUAGUGACUAACCUUUCUA